GGGGGGAGGUGUUGACAGAAUCAGCUGGCGCAGUGACAUUUUCGUGCUCGCCACUGGCGUGUAACGUGCGCUGAAAGCUCGCCGAUUCAAACCUGGUCAGCUUUCAGCGCAAGGCGGAACGCAGCUGGUCUAGUAGUAUUUUGGUAGACCGGCGGCGUAUCGACAUACGUCACCGAUGCCUCACUGGCAGGUUUCCACAGUGUCAGGCACAUUUCAGUGCAAUAAAUAAUCAUCAACAACUAUUAAUCUGAGUCAGCACAUACAUUUAGAUCUAUAUCGAUAUAUUCUGAUCUAUAUCUGAUCUGAUGAGCGCGUUUGGCACGCGUUUGGCACGCGUUUGGGCACACAACCUGACCGAAUCAAUACAGCUGAAACUGCAUCAAAUUAAAUUAAAUAUCUAGUAAAUAAACACACAUGAUGAAGUUAACAAGAUAUGUAAUGUGUCUCUCUCCUUUUCUUUCUUCCUCUUAUUUCUCGCACAGCUCGACCUGGACACGUCUCCGUGUCCUCUGUCCGUCUUCCUGCUGCUGCUGCGGCUGAACAGAUGAUUUGUUUCAGUGCUCAGAUGCGUUAUCUACUUUAAGCCGACAUACGGAAAUUAUAAUAUUCAGUUUUGUGAGCCAAAUUUAUUUUAUAUGCCAACAUCUAUGAAAGA
This 655-nucleotide long non-coding RNA is filed under the name Xyrichtys novacula (pearly razorfish). The record is from RNAcentral. Lineage: Eukaryota; Metazoa; Chordata; Actinopteri; Labriformes; Labridae.